This 30-nucleotide ribosomal RNA is filed under the name Aspergillus flavus. RNAcentral describes it as "partial 18S ribosomal RNA". Lineage: Eukaryota; Fungi; Ascomycota; Eurotiomycetes; Eurotiales; Aspergillaceae. The record is from RNAcentral.
CGGAAGGAUCAUUACCGAGUGUAGGGUUCC